ACCUCGUGGUAGUAAGUGCUCUCUCAGUGUUCACUGUUGCUAUCUCCAUUUUCCAGUUGAGCAGACUAACACUGGAUGAGUUAGAUAACUGCCCAAAGUCACUGAGCUAAUAAGUGCUUUUGAAACCCAUGCUCUUAGCCGUGACUCCAUGGCAGUGCUUCUUAGCCUUUUACGCAUCCUGGCAUACAUGGAAAAUAUUAUUACUCACACAGCAUUGGGGGGAAUGAAUGGGACAACUCUAGGCUUGAGGCGAUGCGUCUGAUGGGCUCUGGCCAUCCCAAGCUCCUUCAGGCCAGCUGGUACUCUGCUGUACUGGAACAGAUGCCGAAGAUGGAGACAGAAGGACAAGCACCAACAAAAUCCCAAGACUAGAAGAUGGAUAAAAACUAGACUUUCCCAAGGAUGUCUUCACAAGAAAAAAACAGCAGUUUCCUGAGCAGAACAACUAGCUACAGCAUCUUCUACGGGAGGACUGGCAGCAGCAGCAUCCAGGCAAGGAAUGGCACCAUCUGGAGUGAUAGUCACAUGGGAAUACAUGUGCAUCAUUCAUCAGGUUGUGCAAUCAGAAAUUCAUUCAUGUGAGGAAAAAGCAGUUAAAACCUAUGGAAAAAGGCCAAAGAAAGCGGCUGUCAGACUGAUCGCUUUUUGGCAGAGGCUGAGAUCAAGAUUUACCAAGGAAAGCCCACGUAAAUAUGACCCAAGAGGAAGCGACAGAGCUCAAGAGCACUGCUAAGCCUGGAAACUGGAAUUUCAGUUACCUUGCAAGGUGCCUUCUUCAAAUGAAUUUUUAAAUAUCUCCAUGAUGGUGAAGAAGAACAGAGACAUCAAUUAGGAUCCAGGGAGACGAGUCUUUGCAGAAAAGGCUUAGAGCAUUCCUGGAUAGCUAUGACUAUUUGGAAGUUUAAAAGACGGUAUACUUUUCUUCGGUCAACAAAUGACAAAAGUAAAGGCACUUGUCCUCGCGGUUUUUGGAAGAAGCCUGGCAGCGUUCCAUUCAGGCAUCUGCCCUUUGAUCAUCCCAUUUUCCUCUAUGUCAGUCCUUCUCAUCAUCAAGGCGGCGUCUCAGUAUUUCUUCUGGAGGCUUCUUCUGAUCAUCUCUGCCCUCAAGGACAACUCCGUCCUCCAACUCCUGAUGAUCCUAACCUAUUUUUUUUUUUAAAGAUUCUAUUUAUUUAUUCAUGAGACACACACACACACACACACACAGAGAGAGAGAGAGAGAGAGAGAGAGAGAGAGAGAGAGGCAGGUGGAGACACAAGCAGAAGGAGAAGCAGGCUCCGAGCAGAUCCCGUGACCCCAGGGUCACGACCUGGGCCGCAGGCGGUGCUAACCGGCUGAGCCACCCGGGGUGCCCGGUGGUACUUUACAACUAAAACUUUAGUAGAAUGACACGUUAUACUAUCAUUGAAUACAGAGGAUGCUUCUCUGCAAGUGUCUUGGGCACCUGCCUGGACAAUUCUGUCCUUCCCAUCCUCAGCGUCCAGGCAAGUGCUCUGUCGAUGGUAGAGAAGUACCUGCUGGCGACGGCAACAGUCCGUUCAAAUCAGAUGUAUAUUAUUUUUUAAGAUGAGUGAGAGGAGCGACAACGCGGACUCUUCGGGAACCGGGACCCGGGAGCCUCAUUCAUGGUCCCUGACGUGCAAGCUCGGCGCGCGGGUGGCGGGCGGCAGGCGGCGGGUGCGGGGCCGGGGGAGGCAAGAACGUCACCGGAAGUGAGCAUUUUCUCUUGCAAG
This is a long non-coding RNA of Canis lupus familiaris (dog), 1734 nucleotides long. RefSeq lists it as uncharacterized. The transcript has 4 exons. NCBI's taxonomy places the organism in Eukaryota, Metazoa, Chordata, Mammalia, Carnivora, Canidae. The record is from RefSeq and is a predicted model, not a curated record.